AUGAUGUGCAACAAAUGCAAAGAUUUCAGACGCCUGACUAGGGAAUGCAAACUCCCAAACUGCAUUAUCUGUGAAAAAAAUUCUCACAUUACAGAGGAUUGUAACUGGUUCAAGCAGAUAAAAUCACUUCCCAAGUUUGUAGGAUAUGCAGCUAGAGGGUUGGGAGUGUUGCUGAUACAGAACUCUAAGGAAGUUGUGAGCAGUGAGCAAAUCAAUCCAAUGGCAAUCAUCACUAUUGCUUCUGGAGAAAUUAAUGAAACUCAGUUUUUGGAAGGAUUUAACUAUAUGUUCAAGUGGGCAUGGCAAUGGAGAUGCAAAAAACAUGGAGAUAGAGCUUAUCUUAUGAGAUUUGCAAACAAAAGCAGACUGAUUGAACUUGACAAAUUUGGGAAUUUUAACCUCCUGGGGACAAAAGCUGUCAUCAAUGUAGACAGUUGGACUUAUGACACUCAAGCCAUAGGGAAGCUACACACUGUGUGGGUGAAGAUAUGGGAAGUGCCUGAAUGCUUCAAACACUUCUUUGGUACUUGUGAGGUGGCUGCUACAAUUGGUCCAGUGCUGGAGAUUGACAUGACAAUAAUUCUGCAGGAAAAAAGAAGAGCCAAGGUGGGGGUGAUAGACUUUGAAAAAAAUCCCCAAGCACACUAA
Molecule: ribosomal RNA, 648 nt
Filed under: Triticum aestivum (bread wheat)
Lineage: Eukaryota; Viridiplantae; Streptophyta; Magnoliopsida; Poales; Poaceae
Description: partial small subunit ribosomal RNA
Source: RNAcentral